GUUGUAUGGUUAAGUGACUAAGCGUACACGGUGGAUGCCUAGGCAAUCAGAGGCGAUGAAGGACGUGUAAGUCUGCGAUAAGCCUGGAUGAGGUGACAAAACCCGUUAUAGUCCAGGAUUUCCGAAUGGGGCAACCCACCUCUACGAGGUAUCAUUACGUGAAUACAUAGCGUAAUGAGGCAAACCCGGGGAACUGAAACAUCUAAGUACCCGGAGGAAAAGAAAUCAACCGAGAUUCCCCUAGUAGCGGCGAGCGAACGGGGAGUAGCCGAUAGAUUAUGUUGUAGCAGAAGCGUAUGGAAAGGCGCACGAUACAGGGUGAUAGUCCCGUAUGUGAAGCAGCAUAGUUUACAUAUUAAGUAGGUCGGGACACGUGUUAUCUUGACUGAAGAUGGGGGGACCAUCCUCCAAGGCUAAAUACUCCUGAUUGACCGAUAGUGAACCAGUACCGUGAGGGAAAGGCGAAAAGAACCCCGGCGAGGGGAGUGAAAUAGAACCUGAAACCGUGUACGUACAAGCAGUGGGAGCCCUUCGAGGGUGACUGCGUACCUUUUGUAUAAUGGGUCAGCGACUUAUAUUCUGUAGCGAGGUUAACCGCAUAGGGGAGCCGUAGCGAAAGCGAGUCUUAACUGGGCGCUUAGUUGCAGGGUAUAGACCCGAAACCCGGUGAUCUAGCCAUGGGCAGGUUGAAGGUUGAGUAACAUCAACUGGAGGACCGAACCCACGCCUGUUGAAAAAGGCGGGGAUGACCUGUGGCUGGGGGUGAAAGGCCAAUCAAACCGGGAGAUAGCUGGUUCUCCCCGAAAGCUAUUUAGGUAGCGCCUCGGACGAAUACCACAGGGGGUAGAGCACUGUUUGGGCUAGGGGGUCAUCCCGACUUACCAACCCCAUGCAAACUCCGAAUACCUGUGAGUACUAUCCGGGAGACACACGGCGGGUGCUAACGUCCGUCGUGAAGAGGGACACAACCCAGACCGCCAGCUAAGGUCCCUAAAUAUCACUAAGUGGGAAACGAAGUGGGAAGGCUAAGACAGCUAGGAGGUUGGCUUAGAAGCAGCCACCCUUUAAAGAAAGCGUAAUAGCUCACUAGUCGAGUCGGCCUGCGCGGAAGAUGUAACGGGGCUAAGUGAUAUACCGAAGCUGCGGCAGCAUACUAGUUAUGCUGGGUAGGGGAGCGUUGUGUAAGUCUGUGAAGGUGGAUUGAGAAGUCUGCUGGAGAUAUCACAAGUGCGAAUGCUGACAUGAGUAACGAUAAUGGGGGUGAAAAACCCCCACGCCGAAAGACCAAGGUUUCCUGUCCCAUGCUAAUCAGGGCAGGGUAAGUCGGCCCCUAAGGCGAGGCAGAAAUGCGUAGUCGAUGGGAAACGGGUUAAUAUUCCCGUACUUAUAUAAUCAGUGAUGGAGGGACGGAGAAGGCUAUGCAGGCGUGGCGUUGGUUGUCCACGUGAAAGUGUGUAGGGAGUGAUGUUAGGCAAAUCCGGCAUCAUAAUCCUGAGACACGAGACGAGCCACUACGGUGGUGAAGUUGCAGAUGCCCUGCUUCCAGGAAAAGCUUCUAAACUUAUGAUUAUGUAAACCGUACCCCAAACCGACACAGGUGGUCAGGUAGAGAAUACUAAGGCGCUUGAGAGAACUCGGGUGAAGGAACUCGGCAAAAUAGUACCGUAACUUCGGGAGAAGGUACGCCCCUGGACGUGAAGGACUUGCUCCGUAAGCGUCUGGGGGUCGCAGUGACCAGGUGGCUGGGACUGUUUAUUAAAAACACAGCACUCUGCAAACUCGAAAGAGGACGUAUAGGGUGUGACACCUGCCCGGUGCCGGAAGGUUAAUUGAUGGGGUUAGCGCAAGCGAAGCUCUUGAUCGAAGCCCCGGUAAACGGCGGCCGUAACUAUAACGGUCCUAAGGUAGCGAAAUUCCUUGUCGGGUAAGUUCCGACCUGCACGAAUGGUGUAACCAUGGCCACGCUGUCUCCACCCGAGACUCAGUGAAAUUGAAAUCGCUGUGAAGAUGCAGUGUACCCGCACCUAGACGGAAAGACCCCGUGAACCUUUACUACAGCUUGGCACUGAACAUUGAACCUACUUGUGUAGGAUAGGUGGGAGGCUUUGAAGCGCGGACGCCAGUUCGUGUGGAGCCGUCCUUGAAAUACCACCCUGGUAUGUUUGAUGUUCUAACGUAGGUCCCUCAUCGGGAUUGCGGACAGUGUCUGGUGGGUAGUUUGACUGGGGCGGUCUCCUCCCAAAGAGUAACGGAGGAGCACGAAGGUUAGCUAAUCACGGUCGGACAUCGUGAGGUUAGUGCAAUGGCAUAAGCUAGCUUAACUGCGAGACAGACACGUCGAGCAGGUACGAAAGUAGGUCAUAGUGAUCCGGUGGUUCUGUAUGGAAGGGCCAUCGCUCAACGGAUAAAAGGUACUCCGGGGAUAACAGGCUGAUACCGCCCAAGAGUUCAUAUCGACGGCGGUGUUUGGCACCUCGAUGUCGGCUCAUCACAUCCUGGGGCUGAAGUCGGUCCCAAGGGUAUGGCUGUUCGCCAUUUAAAGUGGUACGCGAGCUGGGUUUAGAACGUCGUGAGACAGUUCGGUCCCUAUCUGGUGUGGGCGUUGGAUGAUUGAGAGGGGCUGCUCCUAGUACGAGAGGACCGGAGUGGACGAACCGCUGGUGUUCGGGUUGUGAUGCCAAUCGCAUUGCCCGGUAGCUACGUUCGGAAUCGAUAACCGCUGAAAGCAUCUAAGCGGGAAGCGAGCCUCGAGAUGAGUCAUCCCUAGGACUUUAAGUCCUCUAAAGGGUCGUUGAAGACCACGACGUUGAUAGGCAGGGUGUGGAAGCGUUGUAAGGCGUUAAGCUAACCUGUACUAAUUGCCCGUGAGGCUUAACCAUACAACCCAGAA
RNAcentral lists this ribosomal RNA (2890 nucleotides) under Bowmanella sp. JS7-9. RNAcentral describes it as "23S ribosomal RNA". It matches the Rfam family "Bacterial large subunit ribosomal RNA". The record is from RNAcentral. Lineage: Bacteria; Pseudomonadati; Pseudomonadota; Gammaproteobacteria; Alteromonadales; Alteromonadaceae.